GCUGAGCUUAAGGUCGAGUGCGAGAGAGAUUCGUUGAGAAAUUGAAAGAAGUGUGAGGUGAGGAAUGUUUGAAUGAUGGAGUUUGAGAGAUGAAGGUUUGAGCUCGUAAGGUGAGAGAGAGUGAGGGAGACGAUAGCGGUGGAGACGAGCUUCUGCUGUUUCCAUUUUCUUUUUUUCUUUUUUUAAUUAUUUCUUUUAUUAUUUAAUUUAUUUCAUUUUUAACACAAAAAUCAGAAAAAUGUAUAUGUUCUUAUUUUCUUUUAUUAUUAUUAUUUAUUUAUUUUUUAUUUAGCUUAAUUUGUUUUUAACAGAGAUAAUAAAAAACCAUAAAAAUGUUUAUUUUGUUUUUUUUAUUUAUUUUGUUAUAAAUUUGUCAGCCCAGUUCAUAUAUUUAUGGUAGUACCUCAAUAGUAGAUAGUGUUGAGUGGCCUAGUGGAGAGAUGGUAGUUGCAUAAUAUUAGGUGGGGAGGGUUCAAUACUCAUGUGUGGUACUUUUUGCUUUUUAUUUGAUUUUAUUUUCCUUUAGCAUUUUUUAUUCUUUUGGUAUUUUGUUAAUAUCUUUUUUUUAUGUUUAUUAUAAUUUCAUUUGUUAAUAAUGCAUAGUUAUUGUAUUUGAAUUUAGUUCAAAAACUAUUUUUUCAAACUAUAAAAAUCAUACUUUUCUCGAUUUAAUAUCGAGCCCAUUUUUUACACCCUUGUAAGUCGAUUGCUUUUUAAGCAUCGCCAUCAACCUCACAUAGCUUACUCUUGGGCUUUCUUACAAUGAGCCGGUUCCCUUGCACUUACACUCGUACAUUGUUUAUUGUUUCAUUAUUUCAUUCUUUGAUUAUUUGAUUUGAUUAUAUACUUGUUUAUAUCUUACUUGUUUGAUUAACUGUUGCCUACUUGUAUGAUGUAUGAGGCAUAUAUUGUUUGAU
RNAcentral lists this long non-coding RNA (917 nucleotides) under Lathyrus oleraceus (garden pea). RNAcentral describes it as "Pisum sativum (pea) long non-coding RNA (PSAT_LNC016530)". The record is from RNAcentral. Lineage: Eukaryota; Viridiplantae; Streptophyta; Magnoliopsida; Fabales; Fabaceae.